UACAGAGGGUGCGAGCGUUAAUCGGAAUUACUGGGCGUAAAGGGCGCGUAGGCGGUUUGAUAAGUUAGGUGUGAAAUCCCUGGGCUUAACCUAGGAAUGGCACUUGAUACUGUUGAGCUAGAGUAGAGUAGAGGGAAGUGGAAUUUCCGGUGUAGCGGUGAAAUGCGUAGAUAUCGGAAAGAACACCCGUGGCUAAGGCGGCUCUCUAGUACGGUACUGACGCUGAGACGCGAAAGCGUGGGGAGCGAACAGG
Molecule: ribosomal RNA, 253 nt
Filed under: uncultured bacterium
Lineage: Bacteria
Description: partial 16S ribosomal RNA
Rfam family: Bacterial small subunit ribosomal RNA
Source: RNAcentral